This 65-nucleotide transfer RNA is filed under the name Marphysa tamurai. RNAcentral describes it as "tRNA-Met". The record is from RNAcentral. Lineage: Eukaryota; Metazoa; Annelida; Polychaeta; Eunicida; Eunicidae.
GAUAAGAUAAGCUAAACUAUAAGCUAUCGGGCUCAUAACCCGAUAAUGACUAAUGUCUCUUAUCA